RNAcentral lists this ribosomal RNA (253 nucleotides) under uncultured bacterium. Its description in RNAcentral is "partial 16S ribosomal RNA". It matches the Rfam family "Bacterial small subunit ribosomal RNA", at positions 524 to 776 of the family's 1533-position model. The record is from RNAcentral.
UACGGAGGGAGCAAGCGUUGUCCGGAAUUAUUGGGCGUAAAGAGCGUGUAGGCGGCCCGGUUAGUCCGCCGUGAAAGUCGAGGGCUCAACCCUCGAAUGCCGGUGGAUACUGUCGGGCUUGAGUACGGGAGAGGCGAGUGGAAUUCCUGGUGUAGCGGUGAAAUGCGCAGAUAUCAGGAGGAACAUCGAUUGCGAAGGCAGCUCGCUGGAACGUUACUGACGCUGAGACGCGAAAGCGUGGGGAGCAAACAGG